CGAUUGUAAGGCAUGAUCUUUUGUUAAGGUUUGUAUCAGGCCUAUUUAUUUAUUUAUAGGCCUGAUCGCAGAUUACUUUGAAGAUGUCAUUAAAUUGAUAAUUGGGUCAAAAACUGACUUAAUAUUUGUGUAUAUGAAAUUGUUGUUAAAUUCUACAUGUCCAAUGAUUCAUUCAAGUAUUAUUAUUGUUUAUAUAUAAUAUGAUAUUGUACAGUAUUCAGUUGCAAGCUAG
Molecule: non-coding RNA, 232 nt
Organism: Paramuricea clavata
Lineage: Eukaryota; Metazoa; Cnidaria; Anthozoa; Malacalcyonacea; Plexauridae
Source: the annotation of a GenBank genome assembly